AGCUCCAAUAGCGUAUAUUAAAGUUGUUGCAGUUAAAAAGCUCGUAGUUGGAUUUCUGGCUCUCUGCGCCUGGCCCGCCUCGAUUAGAGUGUGAGUGCCGGUGCGCGGUCGCCAUCCUUCUAGGAAACGUUUCUACCCUUCACUGGGCCGGACUCGCGACCUAGAUCUUUUACUUUGAAAAAAUUAGAGUGUUUAAAGCAGGCUAUUGUCUUUGAAUAGAUUAGCAUGGAAUAAUGACUUAGGACUUCGGUUCUAUUUUGUUGGUUUCUAGUACUGAAGUAAUGAUUGAUAGGGAUAGUUGGGGGUGCUCGUAUUCAGCGGCCAGAGGUGAAAUUCUUGGAUUCGCUGAAGACGAACUUAUGCGAAAGCAUUCACCAAGGAUGUCUUCU
RNAcentral lists this ribosomal RNA (389 nucleotides) under uncultured eukaryote. RNAcentral's name for it is "SSU rRNA". It matches the Rfam family "Eukaryotic small subunit ribosomal RNA", at positions 587 to 972 of the family's 1831-position model. The record is from RNAcentral.